RNAcentral lists this ribosomal RNA (427 nucleotides) under uncultured bacterium. RNAcentral describes it as "partial 16S ribosomal RNA". It matches the Rfam family "Bacterial small subunit ribosomal RNA", at positions 355 to 774 of the family's 1533-position model. The record is from RNAcentral.
UGGGGAAUAUUGCACAAUGGGCGCAAGCCUGAUGCAGCCAUGCCGCGUGUAUGAAGAAGGCCUUCGGGUUGUAAAGUACUUUCAGCGAGGAGGAAGGCGUUGUGGUUAAUAACCGCAACGAUUGACGUUACUCGCAGAAGAAGCACCGGCUAACUCCGUGCCAGCAGCAGCGGUAAUACGGAGGGUGCAAGCGUUAAUCGGAAUUACUGGGCGUAAAGCGCACGCAGGCGGUCUGUCAAGUCGGAUGUGAAAUCCCCGGGCUCAACCUGGGAACUGCAUCCGAAACUGGCAGGCUAGAGUCUUGUAGAGGGGGGUAGAAUUCCAGGUGUAGCGGUGAAAUGCGUAGAGAUCUGGAGGAAUACCGGUGGCGAAGGCGGCCCCCUGGACAAAGACUGACGCUCAGGUGCGAAAGCGUGGGGAGCAAACA